GAAGGCCCGGUGGUGGCCGAGGAAGGAGCCGCCCAAGGCUGAGCCUGCAGGCGGGCUUUUCGUCUUCCUCGGAGACCCUCGCGGUGGGGCAGCGUCUCAGCUUGCCCGUGGCAGGUCCCCGCACCAAGGCUUCACCUCAAGGGCAUGAGUGGUGAGGGUCACCUGGGCUGGAUCGAACGCCUACACACACACCAUCGCCUCUCCUUCGCGGAGUGCUGUAGGUGUGAGAACGCUGAGCUCCAAGCUCACAAGAGUCUCGAAGGACUGUGUGGACAUAGCUCUGCGGACAGAGACCUGAAUCUCCGUGGCCCUCGGCAGCAGCUAGUGAGUUCAAAUAGGACAGUUUCUCUCCUUCUUCUUCCUCGUCCUCCUCCCCCG
Molecule: non-coding RNA, 378 nt
Organism: Peromyscus maniculatus bairdii (prairie deer mouse)
Lineage: Eukaryota; Metazoa; Chordata; Mammalia; Rodentia; Cricetidae
Source: RefSeq, a predicted model, not a curated record